RNAcentral lists this ribosomal RNA (478 nucleotides) under uncultured bacterium. Its description in RNAcentral is "partial 16S ribosomal RNA". It matches the Rfam family "Bacterial small subunit ribosomal RNA", at positions 28 to 507 of the family's 1533-position model. The record is from RNAcentral.
GAUGAACGCUGGCGGCGUGCUUAACACAUGCCAGUCGAACGGGAAACCUUUUAUUUUGGCUUCGGCAGAUUUGGCUGGUUUCUAGUGGCGGACGGGGGAGUAACGCGUUGGUAACCUGCCUUAUACAGGGGGAUAAGAACCAGAAAUGGUUGCUAAUACUGCAUAAGCGCACAGGAUCGCAAGGUCCGGUGUUAAGAACUCCGGUGGUAUAAGUGGGACCCGCGUUGGAUUAGCUGGUUGGCAGGGUAACGGCCUACCAACGCGACGAUCCAUACCCGGCGUGGGAGGGUGAGCGGCGACAUUGGGGCUACGACACAGCCCAGACUCCUACGCGAGGGAGGAGAGGGGAACAUAGCACAAUGGAGGAAACCCUGAUGCCGCGACGCCCGGUAAAGGAAGAUGUAUCUGGGUAACUAAACUGCUAUCAGCAGGGAAGAUAGUGACGGUACCUGACUAAGAAGCCCCGGCUAACUACGUG